GUUUGGACAGCGUUCAUCCCAGCACUUCCAUUGGGAAAGUGCUUUGGACUAUUUUGACUCAUUUCCACACUGUGCAGUCUCUCAGGAAAAGGAAAGAAGAAUAUCCCCUGUGCUCGCCUGGGAGCCUGUCCUUCCACACUGCAGCCCUGCUGCUUUUGGCCCCACAUGUGCUCAGCAGAGCCCAGGGCUGGCUGUGUGUUGCUGCCUUGGGUGCCCUUGGAGCAGCCCCGUUUGCAUGGACACACGUGAAGCACGGAUUUGUCCGGGGCUCCGCUCCGGAGAGCACGGCCCUGUGUGUGUCCGUGUGCGUCCCUGAUCGGGAGGGAAUGUCCCGACCGUGGCAGGGCCAGCGAGCACUGCCCUGGCCCUGCCCAGCCCAGAGCAGCAGCUGCCCAGGCUCACAAGCAGCCCGAGUGCAGCUGGCUGGGGCCGGCAGCUGCCCGCUGCAGGUGUGCGCAGGGCGGAUCCGCUUCCCGCGCGGUGCCGCUGGUGUGUGCGAUGGGACACGGCUGUCUCUUGUCGCCGGCCGUGCCCAAGGUGCUCGUGUCGCUCGUAGUGCCGGUGCCGUGAGAGGCGGGGCUGAGCCCCGGGGCGGAGCUGGCGGCGGCCCAGAGGAGGCGGCACGGCCGCAGCAGAGCCGGGGCUCAGGGGCACAGCGAGGCUCGGCCGGCGGAGCGGCGCCAUGCGGCGGGCUCGGGCCGCGGGGCUGCCGGCGCUGGCCGCGCUGCUGCUCGUGGCUGUGGCCAGAGCCCAGGUAGAGCAGGAGCCGUUCCUGGAGACCACCGAGGGCACCGGCAUCAGCAUCAAGUGCUCACACGCCAAUAUCCGGAUGGGCGAUUUCAUCCAUUUCUACCGUCAGCUGCCGGGCCAAAGCCCCGAACUCCUAGCCAAGACUGCUAAAGCCUCCAAGGAGGUGCGAGCCCCUGAAGGGCGUCUGACGGUGUCGAAAGAUCGUCGCUCCAGCGCGCUGUGGCUGGCUGCGCCCCGGCGCGGGGACGCGGCCGUGUAUUACUGCGCGCUGGGGACCACGG
This is a non-coding RNA of Motacilla alba alba, 1031 nucleotides long. The record is from the annotation of a RefSeq genome assembly. Lineage: Eukaryota; Metazoa; Chordata; Aves; Passeriformes; Motacillidae.